This is a long non-coding RNA of Prunus persica (peach), 1267 nucleotides long. RefSeq lists it as uncharacterized. The record is from RefSeq and is a predicted model, not a curated record. Lineage: Eukaryota; Viridiplantae; Streptophyta; Magnoliopsida; Rosales; Rosaceae. The transcript has 3 exons.
GGCACCUCAAAUCAAGAUCCAACAUAAAAAUCUUGCUAGGAUCAUGGGCUGCUGCGUCAAAGAAGAUGAGAAGUUACUGAUUUAUGAGUUCAUGCCGAACAGAAGCUUGGACACUCAUCUAUUUGAUCCGGCGAGGAGACCUGAGCUUGAUUGGGGCAGACGCUUCAAUAUUAUUCAGUGUGUUGCUAGAGGGCUUCUUUAUCUCCACCAUGAUUUGUAUUUGAAGAGUAUGCCACAGGAGGGAUAUUUUCUGAAAAAUCUGAUGUCUAUAGCUUCGGGGUCUUGAUAUUGGCGAUUAUUAGCGGCAGGAACAAUACCAGCUUCUAUUACUUUGGAAAACAUCUAGGUGUCCUAGCUUAUGUAAGUUCACACUCUAAAUCCUACAAGCUAAGUACAGCAGAGUCUAACAAGUCUAGCCAACAUACGCGAAAUUUUGUCGGGCAUGGUACUGUGGAAUUAAGGCAGGGGAUAUGACUUGGUUGAUGAAGUAUUGGCUGAUUCAUAUUCCUCAUCAGAAGUGAUGAGAUGUGUGCACACUGGGCUUCUCUGUUUAAAGACAAGACAAUGCUGCAGAUAGGCCAACCAUGCCAGAUGUAUUUUUUUUUUUUGUGUGUGUGGAUAUAAGUUGUGUGUUGUAUUCAUUGCAAAAUUUAGCUUCAGUAUAGGAACCCCAAAAGCACGAACACAACUAUUUUAAUCUGGACCACGUUUUCUCAUAAACGUGCCAAAGCUAAUCGCGUGCAUGCAUUUCUCACCCGUGCACAUUCUAUGAUCUAAUCAUUUACAGUAUAUAAACAUGUUAGUUUAUGGGAGAAGAGGUUUAGGAAAUGGUCGGUUUAGUGUUUAGGACAAUAGCUUAACUUGGAAUGGAAAACUCUUGAAAGAGUAACCAAGUAGUUCUAUUUGAAUGAAGUAGAGGAAAGGUGCAAGGCUUUGGAUAUAGGACAGCUGUAGUUUUCAGCUUAAUUACUUGAGUUGGCUGUAGGCAUAUUUAUACAGAUGCUAAGUCGGCAAUUUUGCUUGGACAAGUCGGUUGCGCAGUAACCGACUUAUCUAAAGUCAUUUUUAACAACAAGUUAGUCCUAUAAUUCUAGAAUUCUCUAGUUACAAUAACAAUAAAUAAUUAUUAGGAUGGUUCUACUAAGAGUCAACCAACUCUUACUUAGUAAUUCUCUCAAUUAUUUUAGAAUUUUCUAGUUUUAUCACACAAGUGUGCAUUAAUAUUUAACACUCCUCCUUAAUGCACAUUUGUGUUAUUCCGAGUAUG